UGUCAAGGGAUGGGAAUCGAACCCACGACCUUCCGCUUGCCGGGCAGAUGCCAUGACCACUAGGCUACCCUGGAC
RNAcentral lists this transfer RNA (75 nucleotides) under Cordylochernes scorpioides. RNAcentral's name for it is "tRNA-Ala". Lineage: Eukaryota; Metazoa; Arthropoda; Arachnida; Pseudoscorpiones; Chernetidae. The record is from RNAcentral.